AAGAAUGGCUGAUGUGCCCCACGCGUCACGGCACCCCACAGAAGAAGAGGGAAAGUGCCUUACGGAGCCCAAGGCGGUGAACCUGUGAGUGUUUCCACAUGGCCUAAAGAAGCUUCUUGCAGGAGGUCAGCUCUCCGUCCUGUCCUACUCAGAGGGGCAGGAGCAGCCUGCUGCCUUGCCCCUCCCCACGGCAGGAGGGGUGAGGGCUGGUGACCCAGCUCAGUUUUGCUUCUGAUGCUCUGAAGCCUUGGAGGUCCCUUACACUCAGAAGAAAGAGAAGUAUGGAUGAGCCCAAGGACUGCCCCCUUGCUGGCCAUGGAAGCGCAGCCAGCUGAGCACCCAGAGCAGUUCCCAAAGCUAGAAGGAGCAGCAGAAAAGAAGCCAGAGCAGGGCAUGGCUGGGCUUCAUUUCCCCGUGAGCACGCAGAGGAAAAAGUGCUGAGCCCACCACCUGGAAACCCGGAUCGGGGCUUUGCAAACAGGUCUCCCCUGCUCAUCCGGUUACCGGUGUGAAUUUGGCAUGCCUCCUGUCGCUUCCUCAAGCAGACCACGUCAGUAAGACCUGCUGCCCCUGCCAUCAGUCCCGACUGGUUUCACCUCUAGCUGAACCUCACUGUGAAGUAUUAGAAGAAGCCUUCCUCUGUCUCUGCACGUACACACUAUCGAGCCACCCGGUGUUUAUUCAGCACAGGUUGUUGGGGGGGGUUUUUGCACCACAGAUGUGUUCCUGCCUUUCCACGCAGGCCAAAAUCCUGCCGCAAACAGGCGAGCUUUGCUGUGGUAGUGCAUCCUGCAGGACAGGACUCUUGCUCUGACCAGUUCUGACAAGAGCAGAGGGGUCUGUCUCAGAGCACUGGUCUGCUUACAGCCUUCGUCUGGCUCCCACCACAACCAGCAGAAGGUAAAAAAUUCAGCGCGAGCUGUUAACCACAAGUACAUGGAUGCAGGUUCUGGCUCAGAAAAUCCCUAAUCCGCAGCUUGCCAGAGAGCUGGAAGGUGCGAGCACAGAAGGAUGUCCCUAACAUCUCAUAUUCUUGUAUACUUCCUUGGGUCACUGCUGGAGACAGGAUCUGGGCUAGACAGGCCUCUGGGCUGACCUACGACAGCCACUCCUGUGCCAGGGAAAGAGCACAUCAAUCUUGCAGGAGGCAGUUAGGAAAUCACUUUCCUCAGUUCACACCCCCCCAUGGGAAAACUGUUUGCUGAUCCCCAGCAGCUUGAUGGCUGGGGCUCCGUCCAGGAAGCGGGAGGUGUGUGUCCCUGCACGAGGGCUGGUGAUUUUCAAGCCCUCACGCUGCUGGCACUGGAGUCACCAGAGGGACACAAUUGCUUCUCUCCCGUGUGGCAUGAAUGAGCGUUUGCAGCUGUGGGUCCCACAAGCUCUCUGUGCACAGUGCAGGGAACCCUGCGAGAUCUCCUCCCGCCAAGGUAUCCCAGGUCUUUAGAUGGACACGCUCAUGCAAUGAGGUGACACACAGGGAACAGCCUCAGCUCUGGGCUGAUCAUUACCCUGAAAUGCCUUUGGGAGAUCCACAUCUAUACCGGAUCUACAAUUAAGAUAUCACAGUGUUUUUCCUUUAUGUUUUUUAACUGAGUUAUACUGCUAUGAAGUUAAACGUUACAUAGCUACAUAAAUACAGUUGGACUUGA
Long non-coding RNA from Falco peregrinus (peregrine falcon), 1649 nucleotides. RefSeq lists it as uncharacterized. The transcript has 2 exons. The record is from RefSeq and is a predicted model, not a curated record. Lineage: Eukaryota; Metazoa; Chordata; Aves; Falconiformes; Falconidae.